GAGAUCUGAAUGAUGACAAUGAGGAGGUCAGGUGAAGAUCCUGGACAAGAAGAUUCUUAGCAGAAGGCACGGCAGGAACAAAGGGCCUGAGAGUGGAAUGAGCUUGCUUCAGCGGAGUCAGUGAGAGGCCCUGGCGCCCAGAACAUGGGAGCAAGGGAGCGGGGCCAUUGUGAGAGCAGAAAGACAGACAGGUGCCGGGUCAGGUAGGACUCUGAGGACCGAGGGAAGGAGUUUGGAUUUUACUCUGGUUCAGGGAGAGGCCUUUGGAGGGUUUCAAGUAGGGGAAAUAUGUAAUCUGAUUUUGCUUCAAGAAGACUCCUCCAGCUGGCUGCUCUGUGGAGGAAACAGACGGACGGAAGAGAGCUGGCAUUUUGUUCUAAGGAGGGACACUAUUAUACAUUUUCCUCUAUAUUACUUGCACCAUUGCUGAUAACCACUCAGGCCAACUGCAUGAAUUACUGGUAACAGCACGGAGAAGUCAGCCUCUUGAGCUCAAGCCUUCACAUCUUGAGGCACUGCCUGAGAUGACCUACUUAACCCGAGUGAGGCAGGGCAGACUAGAAAGGCCGCAAGACCAUUAUUUCACAGAAUGUGUCUGGCAUGUUUUGCACUGACUAACAGAGAGAACACUGCAUCGACCGCGACAUAAUUACACUUCCUUCUGUACAACGUCGUCCACACCUGACAUGUGGAAUGUGCCCAGGACUGGCUGUGAACCCUACAAAACUGCCGUACGAUAAAUUAUCGCCAUCAUUCCUCACAAGGCUUGGUCACAUUUGCCCGUAGCCAUUGGACGGACCUACCUUUUAAAAAUAGAUGUGUUUUUGCGCUCUUGAAACUACUUAUUUUCUUGCUCUUUGUCACAGCCAGCCUAGUUUAAGCUGACGGUAAAAAGAGGUUUUGGAGGUUUUCCACCACAAGGUUAUUUAAA
This 931-nucleotide long non-coding RNA is filed under the name Equus asinus (donkey). RNAcentral describes it as "lncRNA (ENSEASG00005027420.1)". The record is from RNAcentral. Lineage: Eukaryota; Metazoa; Chordata; Mammalia; Perissodactyla; Equidae.